This 42-nucleotide ribosomal RNA is filed under the name Moniliella byzovii. RNAcentral's name for it is "partial 26S ribosomal RNA". The record is from RNAcentral. Lineage: Eukaryota; Fungi; Basidiomycota; Moniliellomycetes; Moniliellales; Moniliellaceae.
CUAUUCAACCUCAGAUCAGGUAGGACUACCCGCUGAACUUAA